RNAcentral lists this ribosomal RNA (437 nucleotides) under uncultured Clostridium sp. Its description in RNAcentral is "partial 16S ribosomal RNA". It matches the Rfam family "Bacterial small subunit ribosomal RNA", at positions 341 to 792 of the family's 1533-position model. Lineage: Bacteria; Bacillati; Bacillota; Clostridia; Eubacteriales; Clostridiaceae. The record is from RNAcentral.
ACGGGAGGCAGCAGUGGGGAAUAUUGGGCAAUGGGCGAAAGCCUGACCCAGCGACGCCGCGUGCAGGAAGAAGAUCUUCGGAUUGUAAACUGCUUUUAUCGGGGACGAAAAAAAUGACGGUACCUGAUGAAUAAGCCACGGCUAACUACGUGCCAGCAGCCGCGGUAAUACGUAGGUGGCGAGCGUUAUCCGGAUUUACUGGGUGUAAAGGGCGUGUAGGCGGAACUGUAAGUCAGAUGUGAAAUCCCGGGGCUCAACCCCGGAACUGCAUUUGAAACUGCAGUCCUUGAGUAUCGGAGAGGCAAGCGGAAUUCCUAGUGUAGCGGUGAAAUGCGUAGAUAUUAGGAGGAACACCAGUGGCGAAGGCGGCUUGCUGGACGACAACUGACGCUGAGGCGCGAAAGCGUGGGGAGCAAACAGGAUUAGAUACCCUGGUA